RNAcentral lists this unclassified non-coding RNA (432 nucleotides) under soil metagenome. RNAcentral's name for it is "partial contains 5.8S ribosomal RNA, internal transcribed spacer 2, and large subunit ribosomal RNA". The stretch from base 1 to 120 matches the Rfam family "5.8S ribosomal RNA", at positions 35 to 154 of the family's 154-position model. The record is from RNAcentral.
GAUGAAGAACGCAGCGAAAUGCGAUACGUAAUGUGAAUUGCAGAAUUCAGUGAAUCAUCGAAUCUUUGAACGCAUAUUGCGCUCUCUGGUAUUCCGGAGAGAAUGCUUGUUUGAGUAUCAGUAAACACCUCAACUUCCAUAUCUUUUUUGAAAUGGGAGUUGGACUUGAGUGAUCCCAACGCUUUUCCUCACCGAAAAGUGGCGGGUUACUUGAAAUGCAGGUGCAGCUGGACUUUUCUCUGAGCUAUAAGCAUAUCUAUUUAGUCUGCCUAAAAAACAGAUUAUUACCUUUGCUGCAGCUAACAUAAAGGAGAUUAGUUCUUGUGCUGACUGAUGCAGGAUUCACAAAGACAGCUUCGGCCGACUUUGUAAACUCGAUCUCAAAUCAAGUAAGACUACCCGCUGAACUUAAGCAUAUCAAUAAGCGGAGGA